UACCAGCACCCCGAGUGGUCGGGACGAUUAUUGGGCCUAAAGCAUCCGUAGCCGGUUCUGCAAGUCCCCCGUUAAAUCCAGCUGCUCAACAGAUGGGCCGCGGAGGAUACUACAGAGCUAGGAGGCAGGAGAGGCAAGCGGUACUCAGUGGGUAGGGGUAAAAUCCGUUGAUCCAUUGAAGACCACCAGUGGCGGAGGCGGCUUGCCAGAAUGCGCUCGACGGUGAGGGAUGAAAGCUGGGGGAGCAACCGG
This 252-nucleotide ribosomal RNA is filed under the name uncultured bacterium. RNAcentral describes it as "partial 16S ribosomal RNA". It matches the Rfam family "Archaeal small subunit ribosomal RNA", at positions 474 to 726 of the family's 1478-position model. The record is from RNAcentral.